Nycticebus coucang (slow loris) is the source of this 2360-nucleotide RNA transcript. It is a transcript of the gene named zona pellucida binding protein, with no coding region annotated. Lineage: Eukaryota; Metazoa; Chordata; Mammalia; Primates; Lorisidae. The record is from RefSeq and is a predicted model, not a curated record. The transcript is spliced from 9 exons.
UUCACUCAUAUAUGGGAGACAUCCAGAGAAUAAGUUCUCAAAGAGAUGGCUUUGAAUUCUAGCUUACACAGUAUCUUCAACAAAGAAUGUAAAUUUUUAGAGAAUUUAAAGCAAGAGAAAAGAAAAUGACUUUUGAGUCUCUAUAGGUAGCAAACUGGAGGGAAAGCAAACUAAUGCCGGACAAAGGUUACUAAAGCUAAUAUUAAUUCAUCUUGUGUUAUCUCAAGGUAGAUGAGAGUUUGAAGCUGUGUUCAGUGGAUAACUCUUUCUUCAUGGGGGAGUGGGGCAGGAUUACUUUUGUCUUUGUAAUCUAUGUCCUUCCUGCUUUUAGACAAAAAGAGAGAGGUAACAGUGCUCUUAAACCUGCUUCUUGUCUUCAGCUCAACAAUCUUUCAUAUUUUCGGUAGGCAUAUUCUGGUCUCCCAAAGUUGAUAGGUUGUUUUUUGAUUUUCUGAAUUUAGACAGUGUAAGAUGAUUGUCCAGGCUGAGUAUUGCAAUAAAGUCAAUUUCAUCUAGGUCAUUUUCUCCAUUUUUCCAUCAAGCUUCUUUCUGGUGUUAAAAGCUGACCUUUAAUUCCCAAUAGGUGUAUGCUGCAUUUAUACCCAAGUAAAAGCCACACAUCCAUCAAAUAUUAGUUGCGUACAGUACUAGAUCCCAGCAAUCCUUUGGGACUCAUAAAUUCUCACUAUCAGUUGUUCUGAUUGGCCCUCAAAUGCUGAGCUCAGGCUACCCCCACUCCCACCCCCGGCUUCUGUGAAGGGCGUUCCCUCUGUCCACAGAAGCCACAGGAACACGAACACGCGGGCUUUGAGGCCCCACGUUCCUCUCGGGAAUCUUCGACAAUUGGCGUGUGCUCUUGAAGAUUCCCUCAGUGAUGCUGUAGUCCUAAAGGCCCAGUGGCCUCUCACCACAGUUAGCAAGCAUCCAUCUUUUCAGCAGCGCGUAGAAAAGGGCCUUUCUCCAGCUCCCCGUCCUGGCGGAAGUGGCCUGGCGCCCAUCCGAUCCCUCCUUCCGGUUUGCCGCCUCCGACUUCCGGCGGCGGGUGGGCGCGCGCCAGGCAACGACCGUAUAAGCGGUCACUAGGCAGGCGACGGCGGCGUGUGGAUGGAGGCCUCGGCCCCGGGCCGGGCGCGGCGGGGCUGGCGAGGGGCUCGGAACGCGGGCUCCCCGCUCUCCAGGGCCGCUGUCAUCCUUUUUCUCUCCGCCUUUCUUGUGCGGACGCCCGAGUCAGUUGGAUAUUUGGUUCGAUUGCCAAGAGGUUUUCGCUUGACUCAAGAUUCGUUGAAAAUAGUGGGAUCAGCAAGUUCUCCAGUAAAAGUAUAUGUCAUGCUCCAUCAAAGGAGCCCACAUGUGUUAUGUGUAACUCAACGACUGCGAAAUGCUGAACUGAUAGAUCCGUCAUUCCAAUGGCAUGGACCAAGAGGAAAAAUUAUUUCAGAAAACAGCACUGCACAAGUAACAUCCACAGGAAGCCUUAUAUUUCAGAACUUUGAGGAGGCUAUGAGUGGAGUUUACACAUGUUUCCUCGAGUUUAAACCUACUGUGGAAGAAAUUGUUAAAAAUCUUCAACUAAAAUAUGUUAUAUAUGCUUAUCGCGAGCCUCAUUAUUAUUACCAGUUCACAGCUCGAUAUCAUGCAGCUCCCUGCAAUAGUAUCUAUAAUAUUUCUUUCGAGAAGAAACUUCUUCAGAUUUUAAGCAAACUGGUUCUUGACCUAUCAUGUGAAAUUUCCUUACUUAAGUCUGAAUGCCAUCGUGUUAAAAUGCAGAGAGCUGGUUUACAAAAUGAAUUGUUCUUUACAUUUUCAGUUUCAUCUCUAGAUUCUGAAAAAGGACCCAAGCCAUGUACAGAUCAUAAUUGUGAAGCUUCAAACAGAUUAGCUAAGGCUAAAAAUCUCAUAGAGAGAUUUUUUAAUCAACAAGUAGAGGUUCUUGGCAGACGUGCAGAGCCAUUGCCUGAAAUAUACUAUAUUGAAGGUACUCUCCAAAUGGUUUGGAUUAAUCGCUGCUUUCCAGGUUAUGGAAUAAAUGUCCUGCAACAUCCCAAAUGUCCUGAAUGCUGUGUUUUAGGCCAUUACAAAUAGAGCUGCUAUGAACAUUCGUGUACAAGUCUUUGUGUGGACAUAUUUUCAGUUCUUCCUGGAAAAUACCUAUGACUGUGAUUGCUGGGUCAUACGUGAUCUGCAGCCCUGGAUCGUAUAACCCCCGUGAUGGAAUUCACUGCCUUCAGUGCAAUAGCAGCAUGAUUUAUGGAGCAAAAGCAUGCAUAUAGGCUAAUAUCUUAAGUUAUUCAGUGGUUUAUUAAACACAAAAGUCUAUUUUUAAAAUAUUAGUAUAUAAUAAAUCCCUAUUAUGCCAAAAU